CACGGCACUCACUCUAGCCUGGGCAACAAAGUGAGACUCUGUCUCAAAAAAAAAAAAAAAAGAGAUGUGCAGAUUUGGGAUUCAAAGUAUUCUCCCACUCCUAAACUUAAGUAGAUCAACAGAAAGAUGAUAUAUUUUUGGUGCUAGAUACCUCUAAAGAAUGGUAGAAACCCCACUCUGGGCAGGUGGGCAGGUGACUCCAUUGGCUGUGAGAAUCUUUUGAUGACAUGAUUUUCUUUUCAAAAGUAUGGUCCCUUUGAAGCCAAUGAAAGUUGAAUAAAAUUCCUUUUCUAACUCUCAUGGCUUAAAUAUAUUUCUUUAUAUCAAACUAUACAAAUGUAAUAAUGAGAAUAGUAAAGGAAAAAGCUUUGACAGAAUUCUGGCUUCCAUUCUCUUCCUUGUUCUCCACAGUUUUAGUCUUUCCUCCACCCUGUUCAUCAAGUGAAGCAAUAAAUCACUGGCAAAUAGAACUUGGUUUUCUUUGUAUCAAAAACUAGAAGCAGAACAGGCCCACUGGAUUCUUCUGUGGCUGGGGAGGCUUCAAAGUGAACUUGGCAAUGAUACUCGGUGUCUUGACCAGCAAGCAGCUCUUGUUACAAUGGGAUCCUUAAUCUCUAUGGUUCACUGCGGGAAGAACAGCAGAAGAGCAGGAGCAAAUCAAGCACCUCCUGGACAGAGCCCAAGGCAUCUGAAAAGGAAACUUUUUCAUUGCCAAAGGAGGGUGAAUAAAGAUGACUCUGGGAGAAGACACAGCCUACUGCUAAGACGUUGGCAUCAGCCAGAGCUGCGUUCAGCUCUCUUCUGACUGUGAACUGGGACAAACCACUUCAUCUUUCUUUCUAAGCCUCAGUGUACUCAUUUGUAAAAUGGGAACAAUUUAUUUAUAGGAAAAAAAUCAGAAUAUGAAAACAGUGUAUCUUCUCUGGAGAGUAAAAUUGAGAAAUAUUUA
This is a non-coding RNA of Microcebus murinus (gray mouse lemur), 949 nucleotides long. Lineage: Eukaryota; Metazoa; Chordata; Mammalia; Primates; Cheirogaleidae. The record is from RefSeq and is a predicted model, not a curated record.